Molecule: transfer RNA, 77 nt
Filed under: Chitinophagaceae bacterium
Lineage: Bacteria; Pseudomonadati; Bacteroidota; Chitinophagia; Chitinophagales; Chitinophagaceae
Also listed under: 1 other name
Description: tRNA-Ser
Rfam family: tRNA
About the family: Transfer RNA (tRNA) molecules are approximately 80 nucleotides in length.
Source: RNAcentral
CGGGAUGUAGCGUAGCCCGGUUAUAUUGCGUCCCGAUUGAGAUCGGGAAGGUUGCAAGUUAAAAUCUUGCCAUCCGA